This is a non-coding RNA of Misgurnus anguillicaudatus (oriental weatherfish), 2020 nucleotides long. NCBI's taxonomy places the organism in Eukaryota, Metazoa, Chordata, Actinopteri, Cypriniformes, Cobitidae. The record is from RefSeq and is a predicted model, not a curated record.
ACAGGUGACGUUUUAAAUGAACGACGGGCGGAACCCGGCUUCCACAUUUUCAAUGGACGACGGGCGGAACCCGGCUUCCACAUUUCAUUUCCGGGAUUUCCCCGAAGUCAAAUUAAGCCUGAUCACGCUCAGGUGGGGCAAAUUAACACAGCGGUUGCUAAUAGGCUGACAAGGAGAAGAGUCAGUGUAUAAAGACACCUUUGCAGACAUCAAACCGGGUGCUUGUGGUAUACUUUGUGUACGUUGUGUUGCUGCUUUGCAGACGGACCACGCUGGUCGGAUCGCUCUCCUGGGGAAGAGAGUAAGAGACAAUCAGUCGACGAAGGAAUAUUGUGGAGUUUCCGUGAGAAAGAGUGGACACAGAGCCAUCAAGAGCACAGUGAACAGAGGUUAUUGGCAACCAAGCGUGAGUAACCGCGGUGAUACUUAUCUGUACAUAACUGGUAUGAAGAGUUGUCCUGGUGUGUGUUCUUGUGUUUCUUGAGGUCCCUGGCCCCACUGGAGAGGAAAGCGUGGGUGAGCCGCGGGUUGACCGGAAGCACGGGCGAAGCACCGUUCACCAGUAAGCCAGUGGCCCUGUGGGAAAAAGGAAGUGCAGGUGAGCCAGGGAAGUGAUAACCGACACGCCGGGCCUGUGAAUAUCACACAUCUCUCCCUCGUUUGUGAUCCAGUUGUUGCCCAACCGUUCUCUCGAGGUCGUCGUAGUCAGGUGGCAAGGACGAUCUAAAAUUCACGUGACAUUGUAUAAGAGUGCUGUGGGUGAGUUUCACUGAUUGAUGGUGUUUACGCUUUACUUGCUGUGUGUAUGCUGUGCUUGUAGCGUUCAAACUGCCUAGCCUCCGACGAGACACGAGAUGAUGACAUCCGUUGUGGCCUGAGUCCUACAGAGAGAGAGAAAAUCAAGCCCUGUGCCCGGGGUGUGACAACGAGAGCUUCGUUUAUACACAGAGCAGACAGUGGUAAAACGCAGUGAGUAAUAUCUAGUGUGUACCGUGUGGAUUGUGGGUCGUAACGGUGUGUGUGCUGACCUCUUCAACGGCAGCUUGUGGUGAACGGAGCCCCGACGAAAGUUCGCCCCAGCUCGUGACCCCGGUCGUGGAAGAAGGAGGGGGAGUUUGGGAAGCGUUCGGCUCCGUGCCAUCGGACCCACUAGUCCCUACGACGCCCGGACAGCCAAACUGGAGGGGCGAAGGAAUACAGUACACCGACACGGUAGCGAAAUCCACUGUAUAUAGCAGCUACCUACCUGAAUCAGUGAAGCUCUGUGUGGGAACGAGGAUCCCCCGGCACUGUGAGUAACGCAACCUGUGAAAUAACCUGUUCUGUGCUUCUAGCAAUUACCUACCUGAACCAGUGAAGCUCUGUGUGGGAACGAGGAUCCCCCGGCACUGUGAGUAACGCAACCUGUGAGAUAACCUGUUCUGUGCUUAUAGCAACUAUCUACCUGAACCAGUGAAGCUUUGUGUGGGAACGAGGAUCCCCCGGCACUGUGAGUAAUGCAACCUGUGAAAUAACCUGUUUUGUGCUUAUAGCAGCUACCUACCUGAAUCUGUGAAGCUCUGUGUGGGAACGAGGAUCCCCCGGCACUGUGAGUAACGCAACCUGUGAAACAACCUGUUCUGUGCUUAUAGCAACUACCUACCUGAACCAGUGAAGCUUGUGUGGGAACGAGGAUCCCCCGGCACUCAGCUACCUACCUGAACCAGUGAAGCUCUGUGUGGGAACGAGGAUCCCCCGGCACUCAAAUACCUACCUGAACCAGUGAGGCUCUGUGUGGGAACGAGGAUCCCCCAGUACUGCGAGCAUCAGCGAAGUAUUUACCCGGGUCGGACUGUGUUUGAUUCUGCCUCCAGGAGAAGCGGAGCGCGCCACGGAUUGCUGGGCCAGAGCCCCGGCCCCCAGUCUUUUCCCCAAGUGGCCCUGGAGGCAAAGAAGAGCCACUUUAGUUUUAAAUUACCCUUUUUCCCUUCCCCCUUUCCCUUUUUAAAUAUUUAAUAAAGCUUGUUUUAAUUAUAGUAUA